This 406-nucleotide ribosomal RNA is filed under the name uncultured bacterium. RNAcentral's name for it is "partial 16S ribosomal RNA". It matches the Rfam family "Bacterial small subunit ribosomal RNA", at positions 30 to 526 of the family's 1533-position model. The record is from RNAcentral.
AUUGAACGCUGGCGGCAGGCUUAACACAUGCAAGUCGAGCGAGCGGCGGACGGGUGAGUAAUGUAUGGGAAACUGCCUGAUGGAGGGGGAUAACUACUGGAAACGGUAGAUAAUACCGCAUAACAUCAGAUGUGCCCAGAGUGGAUUAGCUAGUAGGUGGGGUAAGGGCUCACCUAGGCGACGAUCCCCAGCUGGUCUGAGAGGAUGACCAGCCACACUGGAACGGAGACACGGUCCAGACUCCUACGGGAUGCAGCAGGGGGGAAUAUUGCACAAUGGGCGCAAGCCUGAGGCAGCAAUGCCGCGUGUGUGAAGAAGGCCUUCGGGUUGUAAAGCACUUUCAGCGAGGAGGCGUUACUCGCAGAAGAAGCACCGGCUAACUCCGUGCCAGCGGCCGCGGUAAUUC